Molecule: ribosomal RNA, 316 nt
Filed under: uncultured bacterium
Lineage: Bacteria
Description: bacterial SSU rRNA
Rfam family: Bacterial small subunit ribosomal RNA
Source: RNAcentral
GAUGAACGCUAGCUAUAGGCUUAACACAUGCAAGUCGAGGGGCGAGCGGGAUUGAAGCUUGCUUCAAUUGCCGGCGACCGGCGCACGGGUGAGUAACGCGUAUCCAACCUUCCGCUUACUCGGGGAUAGCCUUUCGAAAGAAAGAUUAAUACCCGAUGGUAUCUUAAGCACGCAUGAGAUUAAGAUUAAAGAUUUAUCGGUAAGCGAUGGGGAUGCGUUCCAUUAGGCAGUUGGCGGGGUAACGGCCCACCAAACCUACGAUGGAUAGGGGUUCUGAGAGGAAGGUCCCCCACAUUGGAACUGAGACACGGUCCAA